GGGGGUGUAGCUCAGCUGGUAGAGCGUUAGAAUGGCAUUCUAAAGGUCGGGGGUUCAAGUCCCCUCACCUCCA
This 73-nucleotide transfer RNA is filed under the name Leptospiraceae bacterium. RNAcentral's name for it is "tRNA-Ala". It matches the Rfam family "tRNA". From Rfam's summary of the family: Transfer RNA (tRNA) molecules are approximately 80 nucleotides in length. Lineage: Bacteria; Pseudomonadati; Spirochaetota; Leptospiria; Leptospirales; Leptospiraceae. The record is from RNAcentral.